GUGCCAGCCGCCGCGGUAAUACGGAGGGUGCGAGCGUUAAUCGGAAUUACUGGGCGUAAAGCGUACGCAGGCGGUUUGUUAAGCGAGAUGUGAAAGCCCCGGGCUUAACCUGGGAACUGCAUUUCGAACUGGCAGGCUAGAGUGUGAUAGAGGGUGGUAGAAUUUCAGGUGUAGCGGUGAAAUGCGUAGAGAUCUGAGGGAAUACCGAUGGCGAAGGCAGCCACCUGGGUCAACACUGACGCUCAUGUACGAAAGCGUGGGGAGCAAACAGGAUUAGAUACCCGCGUAGUCCG
Molecule: ribosomal RNA, 293 nt
Filed under: uncultured Pseudoalteromonas sp.
Lineage: Bacteria; Pseudomonadati; Pseudomonadota; Gammaproteobacteria; Alteromonadales; Pseudoalteromonadaceae
Description: partial 16S ribosomal RNA
Rfam family: Bacterial small subunit ribosomal RNA
Source: RNAcentral